Molecule: long non-coding RNA, 726 nt
Organism: Uranotaenia lowii
Lineage: Eukaryota; Metazoa; Arthropoda; Insecta; Diptera; Culicidae
Exons: 3
Source: RefSeq, a predicted model, not a curated record
UAGUUCUCGAGUGAUAACCAGAAAAUGGUUGAAAAACUUGAUGUUUAAUCGCCAUUUUGAAAGUAUUUGCUGGUGCAGCCGAACGCGUUCUUUAAUUAAUUAAUUUUUUUUUAAAUUAAUAUAUGUUUUCGAGUAUAUCUGUCUUUGAAAAUCGAAUAAGCAUGAAGGAGUUUCUAAAAGUGCGCCAAGUGAGAGCUCCGCUUCCAGUUCGCGAUAAAUACGGGAAAAGAUCUGCCGGUUCAUCGUCGAAGUCACUUCAAUAUUGUAAUGAAGAAGCCUAGAAUGACGCUCCCGGUUGUGGUUCCGGCUAAAGAGUAUCGAGAAUAUUCAUCCGGAUGUGGCAUCUUUUCAUUCGUACAUAAUGAAAACCCGAAUGAUGGCGGAGAAGACCCGGAUGAAGAAGCUACACCCAAACACGGUCGAGUAGAAAAUCCGGUUUGGGAAAAGCACAUUCAAACUUGCCUUCACAUUUCAUCGGAAUCUCGCACAUAGGCGAUAAUAUUCAAGACAAAUGGUUCAUAGUAUCGCGGCUGUUUCUUCUGACGCGUUCCGGGUUGGGAACAAAAGUGCCUGAUUUUUAUGGUGAGUUUUUGCUGAUCAAAGCAGUCGAAAAUCUGCCUCGGACAGAUCCGGAAAGCUGUGAGGGGCUAGUUUUCAUCGAGUAUGCUGUUAGUGGGAACCGGUGAGGAGGCAGAAAAGCCAGCAUUUGAGCUAAACACGGUGCUA